RNAcentral lists this ribosomal RNA (266 nucleotides) under uncultured bacterium. RNAcentral describes it as "partial 16S ribosomal RNA". It matches the Rfam family "Bacterial small subunit ribosomal RNA", at positions 1243 to 1500 of the family's 1533-position model. The record is from RNAcentral.
CGGGAAAAGGCAAGAUCGUGAGAUGGAGCAAAUACCCACGAAAUAAACGUCCCACGUUCGGAUUGUAGUCUGCAACCCGGCCUACAUGAAGCUGGAAUCGCUAGUAAUCGCGGAUCAGAAUGCCGCGGUGAAUACGUUCCCGGGUCUUGUACACACCGCCCGUCACACCAUGGGAGCCGGAAAUGCCCGAAGUCAGUGACCCAACCGCAAGGAGGGAGCUGCCGAAGGUGGAGCUGGUAACUGGGGUGAAGUCGUAACAAGGUAAC